AUUGAACGCUGGCGGCAGGCUUAACACAUGCAAGUCGAACGGUAACAUAAAGGAGCUUGCUUCUUUGAUGACGAGUGGCGGACGGGUGAGUAAUGCUUGGGAAUCUAGCUUAUGGAGGGGGAUAACUACGGGAAACUGUAGCUAAUACCGCGUAGAAUCGGGAGAUGAAAGUGUGGGACCUUCGGGCCCCAUGCCAUAGGAUGAGCCCAAGUGGGAUUAGGUAGUUGGUGAGGUAAAGGCCCACCAAGCCGACGAUCUCUAGCUGGUCUGAGAGGAUGACCAGCCACACUGGGACUGAGACACGGCCCAGACUCCUACGGGAGGCAGCAGUGGGGAAUAUUGCGCAAUGGGGGCAACCCUGACGCAGCCAUGCCGCGUGAAUGAAGAAGGCCUUCGGGUUGUAAAGUUCUUUCGGUAGCGAGGAAGGCAUUUAGUUUAAUAGACUAGGUGAUUGACGUUAACUACAGAAGAAGCACCGGCUAACUCCGUG
Molecule: ribosomal RNA, 490 nt
Filed under: uncultured bacterium
Lineage: Bacteria
Description: partial 16S ribosomal RNA
Rfam family: Bacterial small subunit ribosomal RNA
Source: RNAcentral